RNAcentral lists this ribosomal RNA (572 nucleotides) under uncultured fungus. Its description in RNAcentral is "eukaryotic LSU rRNA". The stretch from base 222 to 372 matches the Rfam family "5.8S ribosomal RNA". The record is from RNAcentral. Lineage: Eukaryota; Fungi.
CUUGGUCAUUUAGAGGAAGUAAAAGUCGUAACAAGUUUCCGUAGGUGAACCUGCGGAAGGAUCAUUACCUAAAAGGAUACCCUACCGGUAUACCCCACCCGUGUCUAUCUACUCUUGUUGCUUUGGCAGGCCUGGUCUCCCACUGUGGGCUCUGCCUGCAUGUGCCUGCCAGAGGACCAAAUCUGAAUUUUAGUGAUGUCUGAGUACUAUAUAAUAGUUAAAACUUUCAAAACGGAUCUCUUGGUUCUGGCAUCGAUGAAGAACGCAGCGAAAUGCGAUAGUAAUGUGAAUUGCAGAAUUCAGUGAAUCAUCGAAUCUUUGAACGCACUUGCGCCCUGUGGUAUUCCGCAGGGCAUGCCUGUUCGAGCGUCAUUAUACCACUCAAGCCUUGCUUGGUGUUGGGGCUCGCAAUCUUGCGGCCUCUAAAUCAGUGGCGGUGCCGGUAGGCUCUGAGCGUAAACAUCUUCUCGCUAUAAGUCCUAUCGGUCCCCUGCCAAAACCCCCAUAUUUUAUAGGUUGACCUCGAUCAGGUAGGGUUACCCGCUGAACUUAAGCAUAUCAAUAAGCGAAGG